This 708-nucleotide long non-coding RNA is filed under the name Homo sapiens (human). RNAcentral describes it as "HSALNT0290365". Lineage: Eukaryota; Metazoa; Chordata; Mammalia; Primates; Hominidae. The record is from RNAcentral.
GGCAAUCCCCUAAUGUUCCCUUCCACCUUGUGGAAGUUUUGUUCUUUCGCUCUUUGCAAUAAAUCCCAUUGUUGCUCGCUCUUUGGGGUCUCACUGUCUGUGCGAGCUGUAAUACUCGCCGCAAAGGUGUCUGGCUUCACUUCCGAGACCAGCGAGACCCCGAACCCACCGGGAGGAAUGAACAACUCCGGAUGGGAGGGACAAACAACACCAGACGCACCGCCUUAAGAGUCCUAACGCUCACCGCGGAGGUCUGCGGCUUCACUCUUGAAUGAAGCCAGCGAGAUCACAAACCCACCAGAAGGAAGGAACUCUGAACACAUCCGAAAAUCAGAAGGAACAAACUCCGGACACACUACCUUUAAGAACUGUAACACUCAAAUCGCGAGGGUCCACGGCUUCGUUCUUGAAGUCAGUGAGACCAAGAACCCACAAAUUCCGGACACUUCCCCACACAGAGGGAACUGGCCUAACACUCUGAAUCUACAUCAAGGAACUCAAGCGCUCUUGUUGUCUUCCUGGGCAGGUGGUGCCAAUAGGAUGUACUGACAGAUCAGAAGUGGUCGUGAGAGAAGGAGCAAGUAGCCAGAAGAGUGAAGUGUGCACUGGCUGAGAUGUGGGAGCAGGUGUUGUUGGUUUCCCCGGACAAGAAGGCCCUCGCCAGAUAUCAAGGCCUUAAGCUUGGACUUCCCAGCCUCCAGAACUGUG